RNAcentral lists this transfer RNA (102 nucleotides) under Staphylococcus pseudintermedius. RNAcentral describes it as "tRNA-OTHER". The stretch from base 41 to 99 matches the Rfam family "tRNA". Rfam says of the family: Transfer RNA (tRNA) molecules are approximately 80 nucleotides in length. Their secondary structure includes four short double-helical elements and three loops (D, anti-codon, and T loops). Lineage: Bacteria; Bacillati; Bacillota; Bacilli; Caryophanales; Staphylococcaceae. The record is from RNAcentral.
GGGGGUUUUUUCAGUUGGGAGAGCGCGUUUUUUUCACGCAGGAGAGUCAGCGCCUGCUUUGCACGCAGGAGGUCAGCGGUUCGAUCCCGCUAGUCUCCACCA